GACGAACGCUGGCGGCGUGCUUAACACAUGCAAGUCGAGCGGAGGGGCCCUGCUUUUGUGGGGUGCUGGAGGGUCGAACGGGGGAGUAACACGGGAGUAACCUGCCCUUGACUUUGUGAUAACUGCAGGAGACUGGGGCUAAUACCGCAUAGGAGCUCCUGCUGCGUGGUGGGGGUUGGAAAGUUUCGGCGGUUGGGGAUGGACUCGCGGCUUAUCAGCUGGUUGGUGGGGUAGUGGCUUACCAAGGCUUUGACGGGUAGCCGGCCUGAGAGGGUGACCGGCCACAUUGGGACUGCGAUACGGAGCAGACUCCUACGGGAGGCAGCAGUGGGGAAUAUUGCACAAUGGGCGGACGCGUGAUGCAGCAACGCCGCGUGCGGGAUGACGGCCUUCGGGUUGUAAACCGCUUUCGCCUGUGACGAAGCGUGCGUGACGGUAAUGGGUAAAGAAGCAACGGCUAACUACGUG
This 468-nucleotide ribosomal RNA is filed under the name uncultured bacterium. Its description in RNAcentral is "partial 16S ribosomal RNA". It matches the Rfam family "Bacterial small subunit ribosomal RNA", at positions 28 to 507 of the family's 1533-position model. The record is from RNAcentral.